UUUACCUACGGGACGCAGCAGUGAGGAAUAUUGGUCAAUGGGCUUACGCCUGAACCAGCCAAGUCGCGUGAGGGAAGACUGCCCUAUGGGUUGUAAACCUCUUUUGUCAGGGAGCAACGCCGGCUACGUGUAGCCGGACUGAGAGUACCUGAAGAAAAAGCAUCGGCUAACUCCGUGCCAGCAGCCGCGGUAAUACGUAGGGGGCAAGCGUUAUCCGGAUUUACUGGGUGUAAAGGGAGCGUAGACGGCAGCACAAGUCUGGAGUGAAAUGCCGGGGCUUAACCCCGGAACUGCUUUGGAAACUG
Molecule: ribosomal RNA, 305 nt
Filed under: uncultured bacterium
Lineage: Bacteria
Description: bacterial SSU rRNA
Rfam family: Bacterial small subunit ribosomal RNA
Source: RNAcentral